This 1873-nucleotide long non-coding RNA is filed under the name Homo sapiens (human). RNAcentral describes it as "non-protein coding NCAM1-AS1:5". Lineage: Eukaryota; Metazoa; Chordata; Mammalia; Primates; Hominidae. The record is from RNAcentral.
UUCUUGGGGCUUGUUGGGUUGUCCAUCACAAUAGCAUCCCCAUUAUACUUCUCCACUUCCUCUUUCCCUCUUUAGGAAUGACCCCAAAGGAGCCCUGCAUUAGAGCACACUGGGUUCAUAGUUUACCCUCCUCACUGCACCCCAGGAAGACAAGUGAAGCCUGGGUGACUCCAGAGACAUGGAGGCCUCCCCAGGCCAUGGGCAAGGUGAAAGGUCUGGGAAUACUCACCAUCUAGGAGCUCAGGCCUGCUUGGACCAGACUUCAGGAAAACCUGAAGUGAGUGCAGACUCACUCAGAGGUGCACACACACACAGGCACACUCACACGCAGGAUAAAUGCCCAUGCAGACAGGCAUGCACUCUCACAUUCUAGCACCUGGCACCCUGGUUCUGGCUGGACUCACUGUGAAAGACUCAGCCUGUGUCUUACUUCCCUGGUGCCCAUCUGCAAUCCCCCCAGGGUCUUUGGCUAUUGAUGGUUUCACAGAGAGACCUGGACUCAGCUCUCUGGGGCCCCUGGGAGAUCAACCCAUGGUUACGAUUGACACUAGUUGCCUGGGAUGGACCAAUUGACCUCUUGGUGGUUCCCAUCAGUGUCUGGGAGACAGUGGUCAUGAUGCAGGAAGCAAGGACCCAUGUGGAGCUCUGCCAUUAAGUCGAUGUGGGAACAAUCACCCUCGACUGAAAUAUGGGCACUUCUAAUUCAUCUUUCCUCCAGAACAACCUGCUUCCAUAACUGGCAGCCCUGCCCCACCAGUAGACUAUGUCUAAAGCUUCCUGUGCUCUCAGGGCCAACUGAAGCCACCCAGGACUGCAGACUGAAGAUGGGAACUGUAGCCAGCACUACCUGGGGCUCACCCCACCAGCCACCCCACUCCCAACCCAGCUCGCUAGGCUUUGCCAAGCACCAGGCCAGGCUCAGCAGCUUGCGAGCCAUGUAACAUGCCAGAUAGAUAGUGGAGGGAACAUGUAACUGAGUAACCAGCACCAGAGCUGGGCCACACAUUUUUUGUUUUUCAUGCAGCCUGUAUUUGCGGGAGGGUGGUGGUAUUGAUGGCUCUGUGUGCCCCAGGGGUCUCUGUCCAGGCACUCUAGUGCUUCUCUGGUGGCUGUCCCUCUCCACUGGUCCAUAUUUCAAACUUCAGUUUGGGGAAUGGGCCAUCAGCCUAGCAUGCCAGAGAGGAUCCCUCACAAAUGACUCCUGAGACCCCUGGGUGCAGCUCGUACAUGUUUUUAGUCCCUUUGGGACCUUGGCUUGCCUCCCAGCCCUUCCUCCUCAGGCUCUCUGGCUGGUCCCUGCUGACCUCGCACUGAAGAUCCUAGCGCAUUCCCCCAGGAAGGCUUGAGAUGGCGAAGAACUCUGCUUGGAGAACCCAGCUCUGGACACCUGUCUCUGGGCUUUGGCAGCAGGAAGCUGGCCACUGGCCUUAGCCGUCAGCUAGAAUGGGUCAUUUUCUUAGCAGCCAUGAAUGCAGAGGUAUUUCUGGUUAGUCUCAUAAGAACAAAACCAUCCACUUCCCCAGAGUCCUCACACAUUCCACCCAAAAAGCAAAGGAGACACAGGCCUUCUUGGUCUUCAGGAUCCCAUAGCUGUUUCCCUGAACAGGGAAGAAACUUUAGCCUUGGGUUUUCUCUCCAUUCCAUGACACAGGGCUCCAGGCCACUGCAGCUUCCGGACAUCAGUACCCGAUAGGUGUAAAGUGCCUACUCCCUGAAGAAAGAUCUGAAAGUAUUUUUUUGAUGACAGUGGGGAAUAUGUCUGGAUUUUUGGACUCAAUGGCACUAAUUAUAUCUUCUGAGGUUUAUGUGUAAAUAUGAUUUUGUGAAACUAAUCAUAUCUCUAAAGAGGAAAAAUAAACUCCUGCAAAGCUGC